This 424-nucleotide ribosomal RNA is filed under the name uncultured cyanobacterium. RNAcentral's name for it is "bacterial SSU rRNA". It matches the Rfam family "Bacterial small subunit ribosomal RNA", at positions 356 to 795 of the family's 1533-position model. The record is from RNAcentral. Lineage: Bacteria; Bacillati; Cyanobacteriota.
GGGGAAUUUUCCGCAAUGGGCGAAAGCCUGACGGAGCAAUACCGCGUGAGGGAGGAAGGCUCUUGGGUUGUAAACCUCUUUUCUCAGGGAAGAAGAAAUGACGGUACCUGAGGAAUAAGCAUCGGCUAACUCCGUGCCAGCAGCCGCGGUAAUACGGAGGAUGCAAGCGUUAUCCGGAAUGAUUGGGCGUAAAGGGUCCGCAGGUGGCAUUGAAAGUCUGCUGUUAAAGAGUCUAGCUCAACUAGAUAAGAGCAGUGGAAACUACAAAGCUAGAGUUUGGUCGGGGCAGAAGGAAUUCCUGGUGUAGCGGUGAAAUGCGUAGAUAUCAGGAAGAACACCAGUGGCGAAGGCGUUCUGCUAGGCCGAGACUGACACUGAGGGACGAAAGCUAGGGGAGCGAAUGGGAUUAGAUACCCCAGUAGUC